UACGUAGGGGGCUAGCGUUGUCCGGAUUUAUUGGGCGUAAAGAGCGUGUAGGCGGCCAGGUAGGUCUGGUGUGAAAACUCGAGGCUUAACCUUGAGAUGUCAUCGGAAACCAUUUGGCUAGAGUCCGGAAGAGGAAAGUGGAAUUCCUGGUGUAGCGGUGAAAUGCGUAGAUAUCAAGUGGAACACCAGUGGCGAAGGCGAGUCCCUGGACAAUACCUGACACUGAGGCACGAAAGCUAGGGGAGCAAACAGG
RNAcentral lists this ribosomal RNA (253 nucleotides) under uncultured bacterium. RNAcentral's name for it is "partial 16S ribosomal RNA". It matches the Rfam family "Bacterial small subunit ribosomal RNA", at positions 524 to 776 of the family's 1533-position model. The record is from RNAcentral.